CUUCUUUUUCUUCUUCCAAGGAUUCGAAGCCCCAUGAGUACAUUUCAAUGCGAAAUUUAAAUGAAUCCAAACAAGGAUUUUGGGGUAAUCUUGCUAGGAAAGCUAAAUCCAUUCUCGAAGAUGAUAAUGCUCCUCAACAAGUGGAUUCACCUGGGAGAGCCCCCCAACAUGUUCCUCACGCUUCAACUAAACCCAAGUACCAGAAUCCGUACCCCUAUCAUGACAGUCAGAGAAAAACAGACAGUCCUACGUUACAGAAGGGACUAAAUGCGAUCUCAUCUUCCUUAAAUUACGUUGGUAAUGCUGUUGAGGAGGGUCUUACUAAGGUGGAGAAUCGGACUGCAGGCUUUUUCCUGAUGUGCUUACGAGUUUCUUGGGUGGUGCUGGUACACAGAAUCAGGCAAAUAGUCGUGGUAGCACAUGGCAACAACCACAAAUACAAACCCAAAAUCAAACUGACCAAGAACUUCAACUAAAAGCAUCUCGCGACGUUGCAAUGGCUAUGGCUGCCAAGGCAAAGCUUCUUCUCCGAGAGUUAAAAACUGUUAAAGCUGAUUUGGCUUUUGCUAAGGAGCGAUGUGCUCAGCUGGAGGAGGAAAAUAAAAUCCUUCGAGAGAAUCGUGAAAGAGGGGACAAUCCAGAAGAUGAUGAUUUGAUUCGGCUUCAACUUGAAACACUCUUAUCAGAGAAGGCUCGAUUAGCACAUGAGAACUCAAUCUAUGCUCGUGAGAAUCGCUUCCUAAGGGAGGUUGUUGAAUACCACCAGCUUACCAUGCAAGAUGUUGUAUACCUGGAUGAGGGCACUGAGGAAGUAACUGAAGUUUAUCCCAUCAAGGUAGCGUCCAAUACUCACUCCGUACCCUUGUCUCUACAGCCUUCACUACCUACUGAGGUUCUCCUUGAUUCUAGCCUUCGAACAAGUCGGGACAUUGCUCCCCGCCCCGUGCCACCACCAGGGCUUUUGGAGAAUACUCAAAGUGUCACCCCGCCAAGUUCAAAUGCUACUGCCGUGGAUACAAAAAAGCACACAAGCCC
RNAcentral lists this unclassified non-coding RNA (1035 nucleotides) under Hevea brasiliensis (rubber tree). The record is from RNAcentral. Lineage: Eukaryota; Viridiplantae; Streptophyta; Magnoliopsida; Malpighiales; Euphorbiaceae.